Molecule: ribosomal RNA, 2929 nt
Filed under: gut metagenome
Description: bacterial LSU rRNA
Rfam family: Bacterial large subunit ribosomal RNA
Source: RNAcentral
UUAAGCUACAAAGAGCGUAGGGAGAAUGCCUAGGUACCAAGAGCCGAUGAAGGACGUGAUAAGCUGCGAAAAGCUACGGGGAGGAGCAAAUAUCCAUCAAUCCGUAGAUGUCCGAAUGAGGGAACUCAUAUGGCAAAAAGAAGCCAUAUAUCUAUGUACAAGUAAAGUAGUACAUAAGAAGGGAACGUGGGGAACUGAAACAUCUAAGUACCCAUAGGAAGAGAAAAUAAACAAUGAUUUCUGUAGUAGUGGCGAGCGAACCAGAAAGAGCCCAAACCAUAAGUAGAAAUACAUAUGGGGUACGGACUACCAUAAACUACUAACAAGUCUAAUAGAAUCAUCUGGGAAGGUGAACCAAAGACGGUGAAAGUCCAGUAUAUGAAAGAUAAGUUAGGGUAGGUAGAAUCCAGAGUAGUGCGAGACACAGGGAAUCUUGUAUGAAAGAGCGGGGACCAUCCCGUAAGGCUAAAUACUACUUGGUAACCGAUAGUGAACGAGUACCGUGAGGGAAAGGUGAAAAGGACCCCGGGAGGGGAGUGAAAGAGAACCUGAAACCCUAUGUUUACAAGCAGAUAGAGCGAUUUAAGGCGCGAUAUCGUACUUUUUGUAGAACGGUCCAGCGAGUUAUUGUAUGUGGCGAGGUUAAAUUCUAAGAAGGAAUGGAGCCGAAGAGAAAUCGAGUCUGAAAAGGGCGAAUAAGUCAUAUAUAAUAGACCCGAAACCGGGUGACCUAUCCAUGGUCAGGAUGAAGCUAAAGUAAAAUUUAGUGGAGGUCCGAACUGAUUGUCGUUAAAAAGGCACCGGAUGAACUGUGGAUAGCGGAGAAAUUCCAAUCGAACUCGGAGAUAGCUGGUUCUCCUCGAAAUAGCUUUAGGGCUAGCCUUGAGGUAAAACAUGUGGGGGUAGAGCACUGAAUGAUUUAGGGGCCAAACCAGGUUACCGACAUCUAUCAAACUGCGAAUACCAUGUGGAAGUACUCAGGAGUCAGACUGCGGGAGCUAAGUUCCGUGGUCAAAAGGGAAAGAGCCCAGACCGACAAUUAAGGUCCCAAAGAGAUAGUUAAGUGGAAAACGAUGUGAAAAUGCAAAGACAACCAGGAUGUUGGCUUAGAAGCAGCCAUACAUUAAAAGAGUGCGUAACAGCUCACUGGUCGAGUGAAUUUGCGCGGAAAAUUACCGGGGCUAAACUAUCCACCGAAAUUACGGAUUGCAGUACAUUUAACAAUGUAUGCGGAAAGAGAAAAGAAGAAAGAAGUAUAUAUUGUUAAGUGUACUGUAGUGGUAGAGGAGCAUUCUGUAGUAGGAAGAAGCUAAAGCGAGAGCAUUAGUGGACGAGACAGAAGAGAGAAUGCUGGAAUAAGUAGCGAGAGCAAGGUGAGAAUCCUUGCCGUCGAAAGUCUAAGGUUUCCUGGGGAAGGUUCGUCCGCCCAGGGUAAGUCGGGACCUAAGGAGAGGCCGAGAAGGCGUAUCUGAUGGACAGCAGGUUGAAAUUCCUGCACUACCGAUACUUUAAAAAACGUCAAGGGACGCAGGAGAGGAAGGAAAGCGAGGAAGAGGAAAGACUCGUAUCGAAAGAUAUAGUGAAAAAAUGAAGUAACGAAUUUCCAAGAAUCACACUGACGAGAAAAGCUUGAUGACAUUAAGUAAAGGUACCCGUACCGCAAACCGACACAGGUAGAUGAGGAGAGGAUCCUAAGACGAACGGGAGAAGCAUUGUUAAGGAACUCGGCAAAAUGACCCCGUAACUUCGGGAGAAGGGGAACCUAGGUAAAACUAGGUCGCAGAGAAAAGGCCCAAGCAACUGUUUAACAAAAACACAGGUUUCUGCUAAAUCGAAAGAUGAAGUAUAGGAGCUGACGCCUGCCCAGUGCUGGAAGGUCAAGGGGAGAUGUUAGAAGAAAUUCGAAGCAUAGAACCAAAGCCCCAGUGAACGGCGGCCGUAACUAUAACGGUCCUAAGGUAGCGAAAUUCCUUGUCAGGUAAGUUCUGACCCGCACGAAAGGCGUAAUGAUUUGGGCACUGUCUCGACAAUGUACCCGGCGAAAUUGUAGUACUAGUGAAGAUGCUAGUUACCUGCGACAAGACAGAAAGACCCCAUGGAGCUUUACUGUAGUUUGAUAUUGGGUUUUGGUAAUUUAUGUACAGGAUAGGUGGGAGACAGAGAAGGAUGUGCGUCAGCAUAUCUGGAGUCAACGUUGGGAUACCACUCUUAAGUUAUUGAAAUUCUAACUUGUGAUCAUAAACUGGUCAGAGGACAAUGUCAGACGGGCAGUUUGACUGGGGCGGUCGCCUCCAAAAGAGUAACGGAGGCGCCCAAAGGUUCCCUCAGUGCGGACAGAAAUCGCACAAAAGAGUGUAAAGGCAGAAGGGAGCUUAACUGGAAGAUAGACAUAUCGAGCAGAUACGAAAGUAGGGCUUAGUGAUCCGGUGGAAUUGAAUGGAAAAGCCAUCGCUCAACGGACAAAAGUUACCCUGGGGAUAACAGGCUUAUCUCCCCCAAGAGUUCACAUCGACGGGGAGGUUUGGCACCUCGAUGUCGGCUCAUCGCAUCCUGGAGCGGAAGUACGUUCCAAGGGUUGGGCUGUUCGCCCAUUAAAGCGGUACGCGAGCUGGGUUCAGAACGUCGUGAGACAGUUCGGUCCUUAUCUGUCGCAGGCGGAAGAUAUUUGAAGGGAGCUGUCCUUAGUACGAGAGGACCAGGAUGGACAUACCGAUGGUUUAUCAGUUGUCACACCAGUGGCAUGGCUGAGUAGCCAAGUAUGGAAGGGAUAAACGCUGAAAGCAUCUAAGUGUGAAGCCCACCCUAAGAUAAGAUAUCUCAUACCGUAAGGUAGUAAGAUUCCAUAAAGACUAUGUGGUUGAUAGGUUGGAGGUGUAAGUACAGUAAUGUAUUGAGCUGACCAAUACUAAUAAAUCGAGGGCUUAACCAC